CCUAAUUAAUCUUUGAUUUUGUACCAAAUAAAUACUAAUUCAGUUAAGGUAAAAUCUUAAAUGCUCCUAGAGAUUAAAUGCUUCUCUUAAGUACUGUUGAUUCAAUCUCUUCGGUUAUUUUUAGCAGAUUUCUUUGUGGUUAAUAGGCAAUAGCUUGCUUUGAUCCGUAAUGAACUAAUUUUAAACAUACCUUCAUCACUAUUAUUUUUUAGUUAAUUAUCGACGAAUUAGGCAAGGAAGGCUACUGUGAACAUAUGAAAUUAAACUAUAUUAACUUGCUUCUUGUUGUUGGUUAUUUAAGAACUACAAGAUGAAGGAGAAACUUAUGAUUUUUUGUUUCUUUUUUGNNNN
Molecule: long non-coding RNA, 351 nt
Filed under: Nicotiana benthamiana
Lineage: Eukaryota; Viridiplantae; Streptophyta; Magnoliopsida; Solanales; Solanaceae
Description: long non-coding RNA (NBEN_LNC013389)
Source: RNAcentral